CAGCAGGACGGUGGUCAUGG
Molecule: small nuclear RNA, 20 nt
Filed under: Arabidopsis thaliana (thale cress)
Lineage: Eukaryota; Viridiplantae; Streptophyta; Magnoliopsida; Brassicales; Brassicaceae
Description: snRNA_09840
Source: RNAcentral